Molecule: ribosomal RNA, 468 nt
Filed under: uncultured bacterium
Lineage: Bacteria
Description: partial 16S ribosomal RNA
Rfam family: Bacterial small subunit ribosomal RNA
Source: RNAcentral
GACGAACGCUGGCGGCGUGCCUAACACAUGCAAGUCGAACGAAAACGCCCUGCCUUUGUGGGGUGCUCGAGUGGCGACCGGGGAAGUUACACGUGAGUACCCUACCCCUGCCUGUGGGAUAACUUCAGGCAGCUUGGGCUAUUACCGGAUAGGAGCUCCUGCUUCAUGGUGGGGGUGGGAAAGUUUCGGCGGUUGGUAAUGGACUGGCGGCUUAUCAGCUUGUUGGUGGGGUAGUGUCUUAGCAAGACUUUGACAGGUAGCAGGGCUGAGAGGAUCACCGGCCACGUUGGACCGGGGAUACGACCCAGACUCGAAUGGGACGCAGCGGUGGAGAAGAUUGCAUAAUGGGCGGAAGCCAGAUGCAGCAAAGCCGCGUGCGGGAUGACGGCCUUCGGGUUGGAAACCAAUUUCGUCUGUGGCGAGACGAGAGUGACGGUACUGGGUGAAGAAGCACCGGCUAACUACGUG